This 311-nucleotide small RNA is filed under the name Aminobacter aminovorans. RNAcentral's name for it is "speF leader". Lineage: Bacteria; Pseudomonadati; Pseudomonadota; Alphaproteobacteria; Hyphomicrobiales; Phyllobacteriaceae. The record is from RNAcentral.
AACCACAAAUGCGCUUCACGCGGCGAUGAACCUGAGCCAGCCCGGCUUCGGUUCGCUUUGUCUGCCUUGGCUUGGAAAUGGGAAGACCCGUUCCGCACUGCCGGCAAUGAAGGUGUGCCUCUUCAGUAACCCCGGCUUUUGGACAGCCGGAAGAGAACCAGAAAGGCCCGCACCGUCGUUGCUUCAAGGUGUCCUCGAUUUUGCGGUUGGCCGCCAAAUCGACUGGAGGGGUUAGCUCCAGUUACCUUACCGAUUUCCUCGCCAUUCGAGGGAUCGGCGGACACCCACAGGCACGUGCGACUUUGGGCAAG